Molecule: long non-coding RNA, 86 nt
Organism: Haliotis rubra (blacklip abalone)
Lineage: Eukaryota; Metazoa; Mollusca; Gastropoda; Lepetellida; Haliotidae
Exons: 4
Source: RefSeq, a predicted model, not a curated record
AGAACUUCAUUCUGUAAAUGAGUAGAUGGUUUCCCAAUAGAAUUUUUUAAUUUUUUCUGGAAAGAUCUUCAUAUUUGGGUUUGUAG